Long non-coding RNA from Corvus hawaiiensis (hawaiian crow), 360 nucleotides. RefSeq lists it as uncharacterized. Lineage: Eukaryota; Metazoa; Chordata; Aves; Passeriformes; Corvidae. The transcript has 3 exons. The record is from RefSeq and is a predicted model, not a curated record.
CCCGCCCCGCUCGGUGCCCGUUUCCUUCCGCCGCCGCUUUUCCUUUUCCUUUUUCCUUCCGGGACGAAGCGGAACCGGGACAGGGGGAAUAAAAAGCCCCACGCGCUCCCCGGGAGGAGCGGCCGCGGCCGGCCGGGCCUGCGGCGUCCAUGACAGGAGGAGCCGGCGCUGGCUGGAAACGCUCCGGGCCCGGGGCUUGCCUCGGAUCGGGCGCUCGGGUGAUCCCAGCUCCGGGGGCUCCGCUGAUCCCGGGGGGCUCCGCUGAUCCCAGGGGUUCCGGUGAUCCCGGGGGUUCUGGUGAUCCCGGUGCCCCCCGCUGACCCCCGCUGACCCCGCUGACCCCCGGUGCCCCCCCGCUGA